AAGGCUGAGCUGUGAUGGGGAAGCUCCUUAUGGAGCGAAGUCUUUGAUUCCCCGCUGCCAAGAAAAGCUUCUAGCGAGAUAAAAGGUGCCUGUACCGCAAACCGACACAGGUAGGCGAGGAGAGAAUCCUAAGGUGUGCGAGAGAACUCUGGUUAAGGAACUCGGCAAAAUGACCCCGUAACUUCGGGAGAAGGGGUGCUUUCUUAACGGAAAGCCGCAGUGAAUAGGCCCAAGCGACUGUUUAGCAAAAACACAGCUCUCUGCGAAGCCGUAAGGCGAAGUAUAGGGGGUGACACCUGCCCGGUGCUGGAAGGUUAAGGAGAGGGGUUAGCGUAAGCGAAGCUCUGAACUGAAGCCCCAGUAAACGGCGGCCGUAACUAUAACGGUCCUAAGGUAGCGAAAUUCCUUGUCGGGUAAGUUCCGACCCGCACGAAAGGUGUAACGAUUUGGGCACUGUCUCAACCAGAGACUCGGUGAAAUUAUAGUACCUGUGAAGAUGCAGGUUACCCGCGACAGGACGGAAAGACCCCGUGGAGCUUUACUGUAGCCUGAUAUUGAAUUUUGGUACAGUUUGUACAGGAUAGGCGGGAGCCUUUGAAACCGGAGCGCUAGCUUCGGUGGAGGCGCUGGUGGGAUACCGCCCUGACUGUAUUGAAAUUCUAACCUACGGGUCUUAUCGACCCGGGAGACAGUGUCAGGUGGGCAGUUUGACUGGGGCGGUCGCCUCCUAAAGUGUAACGGAGGCGCCCAAAGGUUCCCUCAGAAUGGUUGGAAAUCAUUCGUAGAGUGCAAAGGCAUAAGGGAGCUUGACUGCGAGACCUACAAGUCGAGCAGGGACGAAAGUCGGGCUUAGUGAUCCGGUGGUUCCGCAUGGAAGGGCCAUCGCUCAACGGAUAAAAGCUACCCCGGGGAUAACAGGCUUAUCUCCCCCAAGAGUCCACAUCGACGGGGAGGUUUGGCACCUCGAUGUCGGCUCAUCGCAUCCUGGGGCUGUAGUCGGUCCCAAGGGUUGGGCUGUUCGCCCAUUAAAGCGGUACGCGAGCUGGGUUCAGAACGUCGUGAGACAGUUCGGUCCCUAUCCGUCGUGGGCGUAGGAAAUUUGAGAGGAGCUGUCCUUAGUACGAGAGGACCGGGAUGGACGCACCGCUGGUGUACCAGUUGUUCUGCCAAGGGCAUAGCUGGGUAGCUAUGUGCGGAAGGGAUAAGUGCUGAAAGCAUCUAAGCAUGAAGCCCCCCUCAAGAUGAGAUUUCCCAUAGCGUAAGCUAGUAAGAUCCCUGAAAGAUGAUCAGGUUGAUAGGUUCGAGGUGGAAGCAUGGUGACAUGUGGAGCUGACGAAUACUAAUAGAUCGAGGACUUAACC
RNAcentral lists this ribosomal RNA (1361 nucleotides) under Bacillus cereus IS075. RNAcentral describes it as "bacterial LSU rRNA". It matches the Rfam family "Bacterial large subunit ribosomal RNA", at positions 1552 to 2925 of the family's 2925-position model. The record is from RNAcentral. Lineage: Bacteria; Bacillati; Bacillota; Bacilli; Caryophanales; Bacillaceae.